This 254-nucleotide ribosomal RNA is filed under the name uncultured bacterium. RNAcentral's name for it is "partial 16S ribosomal RNA". It matches the Rfam family "Bacterial small subunit ribosomal RNA", at positions 524 to 776 of the family's 1533-position model. The record is from RNAcentral.
UACGAAGGGGGGCUAGCGUUGUUCGGAAUUACUGGGCGUAAAGCGCGCGCAGGCGGUCUUCCAAGUCAGUGGUGAAAGCCCGGAGCUCAACUCCGGAACUGCCAUUGAAACUGUUAGACUUGAGGACGAGAGAGGUGAGUGGAAUUCCCAGUGUAGAGGUGAAAUUCGUAGAUAUUGGGAAGAACACCAGUGGCGAAGGCGGCUCACUGGCUCGUAUCUGACGCUCAGGCGCGAUAGCGUGGGGAUCAAACAGG